RNAcentral lists this ribosomal RNA (942 nucleotides) under Triticum aestivum (bread wheat). Its description in RNAcentral is "partial small subunit ribosomal RNA". Lineage: Eukaryota; Viridiplantae; Streptophyta; Magnoliopsida; Poales; Poaceae. The record is from RNAcentral.
AUGUAUCGUCUUCGCAAUAGAGUCGGUCUUCGUGGUUUUGAAGGAGUUAGUAGUGAUGGUAAUAGUGGUGGUCUAGCCUUGUUUUGGGAUGAGUCUUUGUACGUCGAUAUUCGUGAUUGCAAUAGAAGAUGGAUUGAUGCGUAUGUCCGGUUACCUGCUGAUGAUCAACUAUGGAGAAUCACCUUUGUGUAUGGGGAACCACAGGUGGAAAAUAGACACCUAAUAUGGGAAGGGCUAAAAAGAUUGAAAGCUCAGGAUGAUCUACCUUGGCUCUUGGCUGUGGACUUCAAUGAAGUUAUGUGGGACUAUGAGCAUUUGUCGGAUACACCAAGGUCACCUGGGCAAAUGAUAGCUUUCCGGGACGUGCUUGAGGCCUGCAAUCUUUCAGAUCUUGGGUUCUCUGGUUACCCGUUUACUUAUGAUAAUAAGCGCAGCGGGCGGGCUAACGUGCAAGUAAGGUUGGAUCGUGCAGUGGCGGACAAUGUUUGGAGGAAUAAAUUUCCUGAGGCAUCAGUGAAGCACCUGAUCUCCUCAUGUUCGGAUCACCUCCCUCUCCUUGUGAGGUGCAUACCUGAAAAUGGUGGCAGGGUGAGGUGUGUUCGGCGUUACGAAGUAAUGUGGGAGCGAGAGGCUGCUCUUGAGGAAGUGGUGGCUGAAGCUUGGCGUGAUGGGGGUGCCAAACAUGGGCUGCAUGACAUAAAAGUUUCUCUAGACAAGAUGAUGGAAAAGCUCCACUCUUGGAGUAGGAAGACUUUUGGGAACGUGAUCAAGGAGAUUGAAAAGUCGAGGUGCAGAUUAGAGGAGCUCAUGAACAUGAAUGCAGAUCGUAAAGAAAUUCGGAAAGAGUCGGAUCACUUGGACGAAUUGUUGUACAGAGAAGAGAUGCUAUGGCGCCAACGAUCCCGUAUUGAUUGGCUCAAGGAAGGGGAUCGUAACACAUAG